GUAGUGGUGGCUCAGUGAUAGAAGCCUCACCUUCCACGUGGGAGACCUGGGUUUGAUUCCCAGCCAAUGUA
Molecule: transfer RNA, 71 nt
Filed under: Loxodonta africana (African savanna elephant)
Lineage: Eukaryota; Metazoa; Chordata; Mammalia; Proboscidea; Elephantidae
Rfam family: tRNA
About the family: Transfer RNA (tRNA) molecules are approximately 80 nucleotides in length. Their secondary structure includes four short double-helical elements and three loops (D, anti-codon, and T loops).
Source: Rfam by way of RNAcentral